This 765-nucleotide ribosomal RNA is filed under the name actinomycete M1oB4. RNAcentral's name for it is "bacterial SSU rRNA". It matches the Rfam family "Bacterial small subunit ribosomal RNA", at positions 575 to 1338 of the family's 1533-position model. Lineage: Bacteria; Bacillati; Actinomycetota; Actinomycetes; Actinomycetales. The record is from RNAcentral.
GCGGUUUGUCGCGUCUGCUGUGAAAUCCCGAGGCUCAACCUCGGGCCUGCAGUGGGUACGGGCAGACUAGAGUGCGGUAGGGGAGAUUGGAAUUCCUGGUGUAGCGGUGGAAUGCGCAGAUAUCAGGAGGAACACCGAUGGCGAAGGCAGAUCUCUGGGCCGUAACUGACGCUGAGGAGCGAAAGGGUGGGGAGCAAACAGGCUUAGAUACCCUGGUAGUCCACCCCGUAAACGUUGGGAACUAGUUGUGGGGUCCAUUCCACGGAUUCCGUGACGCAGCUAACGCAUUAAGUUCCCCGCCUGGGGAGUACGGCCGCAAGGCUAAAACUCAAAGGAAUUGACGGGGACCCGCACAAGCGGCGGAGCAUGCGGAUUAAUUCGAUGCAACGCGAAGAACCUUACCAAGGCUUGACAUAUACGAGAACGGGCCAGAAAUGGUCAACUCUUUGGACACUCGUAAACAGGUGGUGCAUGGUUGUCGUCAGCUCGUGUCGUGAGAUGUUGGGUUAAGUCCCGCAACGAGCGCAACCCUCGUUCUAUGUUGCCAGCACGUUAUGGUGGGAACUCAUGGGAUACUGCCGGGGUCAACUCGGAGGAAGGUGGGGAUGACGUCAAAUCAUCAUGCCCCUUAUGUCUUGGGCUUCACGCAUGCUACAAUGGCCGGUACAAUGGGCUGCGAUACCGUGAGGUGGAGCGAAUCCCAAAAAGCCGGUCCCAGUUCGGAUUGAGGUCUGCAACUCGACCUCAUGAAGUCGGAGUCGCUAG